Molecule: ribosomal RNA, 583 nt
Filed under: Zalerion maritima
Lineage: Eukaryota; Fungi; Ascomycota; Sordariomycetes; Lulworthiales; Lulworthiaceae
Description: partial 28S ribosomal RNA
Rfam family: Eukaryotic large subunit ribosomal RNA
Source: RNAcentral
UAUCAAUAAGCGGAGGAAAAGAAACCAACAGGGAUUGCCUCAGUAACGGCGAGUGAAGCGGCAACAGCUCAAAUUUGAAAUCUGGCUUCGGCCCGAGUUGUACUUUGUAGAGGAUGCUUCUGGCGACGCGCCUUCCGAGUCCCCUGGAACGGGGCGCCGAAGAGGGUGAGAGCCCCGUACGGUUGGACGCCGAGCCUGUGUGAAGCUCCUUCGACGAGUCGAGUAGUUUGGGAAUGCUGCUCUAAAUGGGAGGUAAAUUCCUUCUAAAGCUAAAUACCGGCCAGAGACCGAUAGCGCACAAGUAGAGUGAUCGAAAGAUGAAAAGCACUUUGGAAAGAGGGUUAAAAAGUACGUGAAAUUGCUGAAAGGGAAGCGCUUGCGACCAGACUCGCGCCUGGCGGAUCAUCCAGCGUUCUCGCUGGUGCACUUCGCCUGGCACGGGCCAGCAUCGGUUCGGCGGGGGGGAUAAAAGCCCGGGAAACGUAGCUCCCUCCGGGGAGUGUUAUAGUCCCCCGCCCAAUGUUCCCUGCCGGACCGUGGACCGCGCCUUCGUGCAAGGAUGCUGGCGUAAUGGUCGUUAGCG